RNAcentral lists this ribosomal RNA (254 nucleotides) under uncultured bacterium. RNAcentral's name for it is "partial 16S ribosomal RNA". It matches the Rfam family "Bacterial small subunit ribosomal RNA", at positions 524 to 776 of the family's 1533-position model. The record is from RNAcentral.
CACGUAGGGGGCAAGCGUUGUCCGGAUUCAUUGGGCGUAAAGAGCUCGUAGGCGGUUCGAUAAGUCGGGUGUGAAACCUCCAGGCUCAACCUGGAGACGCCACCCGAUACUGUCGUGACUAGAGUCCAGUAGGGGAGCGUGGAAUUCCUGGUGUAGCGGUGAAAUGCGCAGAUAUCAGGAGGAACACCAGCGGCGAAGGCGGGUCUCUGGGCCGAUACUGACGCUGAGGAGCGAAAGCGUGGGGAGCGAACAGG